Molecule: non-coding RNA, 80 nt
Filed under: Candidatus Omnitrophota bacterium
Lineage: Bacteria; Pseudomonadati; Candidatus Omnitrophota
Description: Omnitrophica WOR c-di-GMP sequence
Rfam family: c-di-GMP-I-GGC riboswitch aptamer
Source: RNAcentral
AAUGAAAAAGGCAAACUAAGGGCGACCUUAGGGCGCAAAGCCACCUGUCCUGAAAUCCCGGGAUAGAGGAGCUGCCAAGC